AGUGAACGCUGGCGGCAGGCCUAACACAUGCAAGUCGAGCGGCAGCGCGGGGGCAACCCUGGCGGCGAGCGGCGGACGGGUGAGGAAUUCGUCGGAAUCUGCCUUUUUGUGGGGGAUAACGUAGGGACACUUACGCUAAUACCGCAUACGUCCUACGGGUGAAAGUGGGGGACCGCAAGGCCUCACGCAGAAAGAUGAGCCGACGACCGAUUAGCUAGUUGGUGGGGUAAAGGCCCACCAAGGCGACGAUCGGUAGCUGGUCUGAGAGGAUGAUCAGCCACACUGGGACUGAGACACGGCCCAGACUCCUACGGGAGGCAGCAGUGGGGAAUAUUGGACAAUGGGCGAAAGCCUGAUCCAGCCAUGCCGCGUGUGUGAAGAAGGCCUUCGGGUUGUAAAGCACUUUUGUCCGGAAAGAAAUCCCUGGAGCUAAUACCUUCGGGGGAUGACGGUACCGGAAGAAUAAGCACCGGCUAACUUCGUG
Molecule: ribosomal RNA, 484 nt
Filed under: uncultured bacterium
Lineage: Bacteria
Description: partial 16S ribosomal RNA
Rfam family: Bacterial small subunit ribosomal RNA
Source: RNAcentral